AAUCUUUCGCAAUGGAUGCAAGUGUGACGGAGCAACGCCGCGCGAGUGAUGAAGGUUUUCGGUUCGUAAAACUCUGUUUUUAGGGAAGAACAAGUAACGUUCGAAUAGGUCGGUACCUGGACGGUACCUAACCAGAAAGCGACGACUAACUACGUGCCAGCAGCAGCGGUAAGACGCAGGUGGCAAGCGUUAUCCGGAAUUAGUGGGCGUAAAGCGCUCGCAGGCGGUUUAUUAAGUCUAGUGUGAAAGCCCGCGGCUCAACCGUGGAGGGUCAUUGGAAACUGGGGAACUUGAGUGCAGAAGAGGAGAGUGGAAUUCCAUGUGUAGCGGUGAAAUGCGUAGAGAUAUGGAGGAACACCAGUGGCGAAGGCGACUCUCUGGUCUGCAACUGACGCUGAGGCGCGAAAGCGUGGGGAGCAAACA
Molecule: ribosomal RNA, 423 nt
Filed under: uncultured bacterium
Lineage: Bacteria
Description: partial 16S ribosomal RNA
Rfam family: Bacterial small subunit ribosomal RNA
Source: RNAcentral